Molecule: transfer RNA, 76 nt
Filed under: Ottowia sp.
Lineage: Bacteria; Pseudomonadati; Pseudomonadota; Betaproteobacteria; Burkholderiales; Comamonadaceae
Also listed under: 1 other name
Description: tRNA-Arg
Rfam family: tRNA
About the family: Transfer RNA (tRNA) molecules are approximately 80 nucleotides in length.
Source: RNAcentral
GCGGCUGUAGCUCAGUGGAUAGAGUAUUGGCCUCCGAAGCCAAGGGUCGCAGGUUCGAUCCCUGCCAGCCGCGCCA